This 323-nucleotide ribosomal RNA is filed under the name uncultured bacterium. RNAcentral's name for it is "bacterial SSU rRNA". It matches the Rfam family "Bacterial small subunit ribosomal RNA", at positions 28 to 334 of the family's 1533-position model. The record is from RNAcentral.
GAUGAACGCUGGCGGCGUGCUUAACACAUGCAAGUCGAACGAGAAUCAACGGAUUGAGGAUUCGUCCAAAUGAAGUUGAGGAAAGUGGCGGACGGGUGAGUAACGCGUGAGGAACCUGCCUCGGAGUGGGGAAUAACAGUUGGAAACGACUGCUAAUACCGCAUAAUGCUUUUGAGCGGCAUCGCUUGAAAGCCAAAGAUUUAUCGCUGAAAGAUGGUCUCGCGUCUGAUUAGCUAGUUGGUGAGGUAACGGCUCACCAAGGCGACGAUCAGUAGCCGGUCUGAGAGGAUGAACGGCCACAUUGGGACUGAGAUACGGCCCAG